Vidua chalybeata is the source of this 181-nucleotide long non-coding RNA. RefSeq lists it as uncharacterized. NCBI's taxonomy places the organism in Eukaryota, Metazoa, Chordata, Aves, Passeriformes, Viduidae. The transcript is spliced from 2 exons. The record is from RefSeq and is a predicted model, not a curated record.
UUUCAAACACCUCUCUCUGCAACGUCAAGAUCCUGCCAAAUGGACUGUUUGGUGCAUAAUUCUGCUGCAGACCACAGAGGAGGUGUUCCAUAGCUCAUUCUGGAGACUGGUUGCAGACCUCAUACUCUGAAGAAUUACAAUUCAUGGACAUCACAGGAUUGCACCAAUCUCAGGAAACUGA